This 267-nucleotide unclassified non-coding RNA is filed under the name Hevea brasiliensis (rubber tree). Lineage: Eukaryota; Viridiplantae; Streptophyta; Magnoliopsida; Malpighiales; Euphorbiaceae. The record is from RNAcentral.
UGACGUCGAUCCGUCAGCCGGCAGAGCGGCGACGGCAUCGCUUCUCCUGGAUCAACGAGUGGAAAGAGACGGCCGAUGCAAAUGGCCGCCCAUUUGGGAUCGAGCUGAUCCUGCCGGAUUGGUUCUACGCUGGCGUCAUCGAUGACGCGCUCGUGCUGACGAUUGAUCGCGCCUAUUUCGAGCUGACGGGCGGACUUGAGAGGUGGCUUUAUCGUCUUGUGCGCAAGCACGGCGGACGCCAGGACGGCGGCUGGAGUUUUGAUCUGG